UAUACACAUCACUAGCUGAGUGUUAACCAGUGGGUGGUCAGAUGGGAGUUAACUAAGGAACAAACUGUGUGGAGACUUCAGCGUUGCCCCUGAUAUUCUGUGACUUGGUAGUUCUCAGGCAAAUGCAUUUGUGUUUCUGUCGGAGGGGAGAUGCAAAAUUCAUUCAUUUUUUUUCUCAAUAGUAGAUAGAUUUUCUUCUUCGUCUGUGUGUCGGUGGACACAUAGCUCAGCACUCAGAGUCUAAACUGCUAACGUGCACUAGUUCUCCUACAGAGACACAUUUUCAUUAACGUCUCUUAACACUACAGCUGUGUUGCCUGGAACUUUAUCAUGAAAUUCUCUCUUUUCACUCAAAUAUGGAGAUCCUUCCUCACUGAAGAUGUUUGGGGUAUUGCUUCUGAUUCUGCAAAAUGAAAUAUAUUCUACGUUUGACAAGGGGCGAUAAAGUCGUUCAAGCCUUUGGCUUUCUCUCUGUUCACGGUGAGGAGCCCACAGCACUGUGGCGGUGGGGGUGAAGUCACAGAAGACCUUCCCCAUCUGUGGGACUCUCCUUGCCUCUGCCAUUCAGAAGGAAAGCAGUUAAGGAGAAGCACAGAGACUAUGCACUGAAAGCCUAAUGUCGUUGAAAAGCCCCCAAGGACAAGAAAGGUGAGAAGGCAGUGAUGGUGACCUUGGGCUCUCGGGGACUCUAUUAAGGAUCCUCUAAAGGAGGAAGCUUGGGCAGAGAAGACAGCCUUUGCCUGGAGGGAAGGAAGUCACCAUCCAUGUUACUUUCAGUAGAAUGCAACAGAUCCAAUUCAACAAUAUUUCUAGGAAUAGAUUUUGACCAUAUUAUUCUUGACAAGGUAGUCAACCAACUUUGCAUUUUAUAAUAUGAUACAUUAUACAGAUUCUAUAAACUCUUUCAAGAGUAGUUCAUUUAAAUGAGCCAUUUUAAUGGCUCGAAGAUUAAUUUCCAAGUAAAGAGAAAUUGGAUUGCCCCAAUUGUGUGUAAUAUUUGGCAGGAAGUUAGCUAGCUUCCGAACGCAAAGAAAAGUAAGCAACUAAGAAACCCCUGACCAGAAACCUCUUAGAUGCACUGAAGCCUCUUAGAUGCACUGAAGCACAUUUAUACAUUCAGUGCUUAGUAACUGUAAUUUAUUUUGAUCUCUUUUUCUGUUUUCAGAGAGGGUCUCAAAAUGUAGCCCUUUGCCUACCUUUGACAGCCUUUCUGUGUACACAAGACUGGCCUUGAACUCAUAGAGAUAUGACUACCUUUGUCUCCCAAAUGCUGGAAAUAAAGUUGUGUAUCACC
Mus pahari (shrew mouse) is the source of this 1294-nucleotide long non-coding RNA. RefSeq lists it as uncharacterized. NCBI's taxonomy places the organism in Eukaryota, Metazoa, Chordata, Mammalia, Rodentia, Muridae. The record is from RefSeq and is a predicted model, not a curated record. The transcript is spliced from 3 exons.